CACGUAGGGUGCGAGCGUUGUCCGGAAUUAUUGGGCGUAAAGAGCUCGUAGGCGGUGUGUCGCGUCGGCCGUGAAAACCUGCAGCUUAACUGUGGGCUUGCGGUCGAUACGGGCAUCACUGGAGUUCGGCAGGGGAGACUGGAAUUCCUGGUGUAGCGGUGAAAUGCGCGGAUAUCAGGAGGAACACCGGUGGCGAAGGCGGGUCUCUGGGCCGAUACUGACGCUGAGGCGCGAAAGCUAGGGGAGCAAACAGG
This 254-nucleotide ribosomal RNA is filed under the name uncultured bacterium. RNAcentral's name for it is "partial 16S ribosomal RNA". It matches the Rfam family "Bacterial small subunit ribosomal RNA", at positions 524 to 776 of the family's 1533-position model. The record is from RNAcentral.